CUGGCGGCGUGCCUAACACAUGCAAGUCGAACGAGAAAGUGGAGCAAUCCAUGAGUACAGUGGCGACCGGGUGAGUAACACGUGACUAACCUACCCUCGAGUGUGGAAUAACCCCGGGAAACCGGGGCUAAUACCGCAUAACAUCGCAAGAUCAAAGGAGCAAUCCGCUUGAGGAGGGGGUCGCGGCUGAUUAGCUAGUUGGCGGGGUAACGGCCCACCAAGGCGAAGAUCGGUAUCCGGCCUGAGAGGGCGCACGGACACACUGGAACUGAAACACGGUCCAGACUCCUACGGGAGGCAGCAGUGGGGAAUUUUGCGCAAUGGGGGAAACCCUGACGCAGCAACGCCGCGUGGAGGAUGAAGCCCUUUGGGGCGUAAACUCCUUUCGACCAAGACGAUGAUGACGGUACUGGUGGAAGAAGCACCGGCUAACUCUGUGCCAGCAGCCGCGGUAAUACAGAGGGUGCAAGCGUUGUUCGGAAUUAUUGGGCGUAAAGGGCGCGUAGGCGGCGCGGUAAGUCACCUGUGAAACCUCCGGGCUUAACUCGGAGCCUGCAGGCGAAACUACCGUGCUGGAGUGUGG
RNAcentral lists this ribosomal RNA (583 nucleotides) under uncultured bacterium. RNAcentral's name for it is "bacterial SSU rRNA". It matches the Rfam family "Bacterial small subunit ribosomal RNA", at positions 36 to 651 of the family's 1533-position model. The record is from RNAcentral.